RNAcentral lists this unclassified non-coding RNA (201 nucleotides) under fungal sp. Its description in RNAcentral is "partial internal transcribed spacer region". The stretch from base 1 to 46 matches the Rfam family "Eukaryotic small subunit ribosomal RNA", at positions 1786 to 1831 of the family's 1831-position model. Lineage: Eukaryota; Fungi. The record is from RNAcentral.
AAGUCGUAACAAGGUUUCCGUAGGUGAACCUGCGGAAGGAUCAUUACUGGAGGGCACAAAUAUGCCCAGACACACUGUGUUUUGUUAGUGUGUGUGGCGCCCACAAGGCGCCACCAUUACACGUUGACACCGCAAGUGAAACAGCCAAGCAUGAAAUACAUUUAACAAUAACAACUGUUAGCAACGGAUCACUUGGUUCUC